UCACUUUAGCAGUAAAUACACCAAAACUGGAUGGCACAAAGAUUAGCAAGACUCCUGUGCAAAGAUGAUAUGCAAAUUCCUAAAGCAUUCCAUAUUCUA
RNAcentral lists this small nuclear RNA (99 nucleotides) under Erinaceus europaeus (western European hedgehog). Lineage: Eukaryota; Metazoa; Chordata; Mammalia; Eulipotyphla; Erinaceidae. The record is from RNAcentral.